GCUCAGUAACACGUGGAUAACAUACCCUAAAGUGGAGCAUAAUCUCGGAAAACUGAGGAUAAUACUCCAUAGGUCACGAGAUCUGGAAAGACUUGUGGCUCAAAGUUCCGGCGCUUUAGGAUUGGUCUGCGGCCUAUCAGGUAGUAGUGGGUGUAACGGACCCACUAGCCGAUGACGGGUAUGGGCCUUGAGAGAGGGAGCCCAGAGAUGGAUUCUGAGACACGAAUCCAGGCCCUACGGGGCGCAGCAGUCGCGAAAACUUCACAAUGGAGGCAACUCCGAUGAGGGAAUUCCUAGUGCCAAUGCAUUUUGUGUUGGCUUUUCUUCAGCGUAGAUAACUGUUGGAAUAAGGGCUGGGUAAGACGGGUGCCAGCCGCCGCGGUAAUACCCGCAGCCCAAGUGGUGGUCGAUAUUAUUGAGUCUAAAACGUUCGUAGCCGGUUCAAUAAAUCUCUGGGUAAAUCGGAGGGCUUAACCUUCCGAAUUCCGGAGAGACUGUUGAACUUGGGACCGGGAGAGGCAAGAGGUACUUCUGGGGUAGGGGUAAAAUCCUGUAAUCCUAGAAGGACCACCGGUGGCGAAGGCGUCUUGCUAGAACGGAUCCGACGGUGAGGGACGAAGCCCUGGGUCGCAAACGGGAUUAGAUACCCCGGUAGUCCAGG
Molecule: ribosomal RNA, 661 nt
Filed under: uncultured methanogenic archaeon
Lineage: Archaea; Methanobacteriati; Methanobacteriota
Description: bacterial SSU rRNA
Rfam family: Archaeal small subunit ribosomal RNA
Source: RNAcentral